AUCUAACACCUGGGCUGGAUCGCCGUGAUACCUCCGAAGCAUGGAUACAUGAAAUACCGGUUGCACGGCUGAUAAGCUAGGCGGCAAUGCGAGUCUAUAAGCCACCUCUCCCACUCGAUCAAGAAUCUCAGAUGGACCAAUGAACCUAGGGCUAAGGUUGACCUUCUUCCCAAAUCUUAUCACGCCCUUCGUAGGCGACACUCGGAGCAAUACCCGCUCACCGACCAUAAAUGCCACAUCUUG
Molecule: long non-coding RNA, 243 nt
Filed under: Nicotiana benthamiana
Lineage: Eukaryota; Viridiplantae; Streptophyta; Magnoliopsida; Solanales; Solanaceae
Description: long non-coding RNA (NBEN_LNC003512)
Source: RNAcentral